GAGUUUGAUUCUGGCUCAGGAUGAACGCUGGCGGCGCGCCUAAUACAUGCAAGUCGAACGGAGUGUGUUCUCGUAACGCACUCAGUGGCGAACGGGUGAGUAACGCGUAGGUGACCUACCCCGAAGAGGGGGAUAACAGCUCGAAAGGGCUGCUAAUACCCCAUGUGGUUCUGUGGAUUAGAGGCCGCAGAACUAAAGGCGCAAGCCGCUUCGGGAUGGGCCUGCGUCCCAUCAGCUAGUUGGUAGGGUAACGGCCUACCAAGGCGAUGACGGGUAGGGGGCCUGAGAGGGUGGCCCCCCACACUGGCACUGAAACACGGGCCAGACACCUACGGGUGGCAGCAGUAGGGAAUAUUGGGCAAUGGGCGAAAGCCUGACCCAGCGACGCCGCGUGCGCGAUGAAGGCCUUCGGGUUGUAAAGCGCUUUUGGAGGGGAUGAGGAAGGACAGUACCCUCCGAAUAAGCCUCGGCUAACUACGUGCCAGCAGCCGCGGUAAAACGUAGGAGGCGAGCGUUAUCCGGAUUUACUGGGCGUAAAGCGCGUGUAGGCGGUCCGGCAAGUUGGAUGUGAAAUCUCCCGGCUCAACCGGGAGAGGUCGUUCAAUACUGCUGGGCUAGAGAGCAGUAGAGGGGGGUGGAAUUCCGGGUGUAGCGGUGAAAUGCGUAGAUAUCCGGAGGAACACCAGUGGCGAAGGCGGCCCCCUGGACUGUCUCUGACGCUCAGACGCGAAAGCUAGGGGAGCAAACGGGAUUAGAUACCCUGGUAGUC
RNAcentral lists this ribosomal RNA (769 nucleotides) under uncultured Chloroflexota bacterium. RNAcentral's name for it is "bacterial SSU rRNA". It matches the Rfam family "Bacterial small subunit ribosomal RNA", at positions 9 to 795 of the family's 1533-position model. Lineage: Bacteria; Bacillati; Chloroflexota. The record is from RNAcentral.